Molecule: ribosomal RNA, 447 nt
Filed under: Triticum aestivum (bread wheat)
Lineage: Eukaryota; Viridiplantae; Streptophyta; Magnoliopsida; Poales; Poaceae
Description: partial small subunit ribosomal RNA
Source: RNAcentral
AUGUCGUACACGAUCGGCGCGCCUCCGUUGCCAGAUGACUUGUGGUCGUGGGUGUUCCUGGGCUUCUUUGGCACUUGCUCUUCGUCGUCGUCCUCUGUGUCACCGAGGUUUGUGACAACCGGAGUCAUGAUCCUUGGUGUUACUCGUGAGGCCCGACGCUUGGUGGAGAGUUGCGCCUCGGUGGCCAGGUGUUCCGUCACCACGUGCCGGUCGGUAAGAAGGCCAGUGAUGGCCGUAGCAUCAUCGUGCUCAGCAGCGAGGUGUUGUUCCACCUCCCACGAACGGAGGGGCACCACAACGCUGCCACCAUGUACCGCCGCGCCGGCAUGGGGUUGCUCCCCCUCUACCUCCUCCUUCUCCGAGGAGAUCCAACCGGAAGCCUCAUCGUCGUCUUUGUCAUCCAAGCUCGAGGAAUCGUCCGGCAUGACGACUACCGGGAGGUGCUGA